CCUACGGGCGGCAGCAGUAAGGAAUAUUGGUCAAUGGGCGAAAGCCUGAACCAGCAAAGUCGCGUGAAGGAUGAAGGAUCUAUGGUUUGUAAACUUCUUUUAUAUAGGAAUAAAGUGAGGAACGUGUUCCUUUUUGUAUGUACCAUAUGAAUAAGCAUAGGCAAACUCCGUUCCAGCCGCCGCGGUAAUACGGAGGAUGCGAGCUUUUGCCGGAUUUAUUGGGUUUAAAGGGAGCGUAGGCGGUUAAUUAAGUCAGCGGUGAAAGUUUGUGGUUCAACCAUAAAAGUGCCGUUGAAACUGGUUGAAUUGAGUAUAUUCGAGGUAGGCGGAAGUCGUGGUGUAGCGGUGAAAUGCAUAGAUAUCACGCAGAACUCCGAUGGCGAAGGCAGCUUACUAAACUAUAACUGACACUGAGGUACGAAAGCGUGGGGAUCAAACAGGAUUAGAUACCCGAGUAGUC
Molecule: ribosomal RNA, 460 nt
Filed under: uncultured bacterium
Lineage: Bacteria
Description: partial 16S ribosomal RNA
Rfam family: Bacterial small subunit ribosomal RNA
Source: RNAcentral